UGGGGAAUAUUGCACAAUGGGCGCAAGCCUGAUGCAGCGACGCCGCGUGGGGGAUGACGGCCUUCGGGUUGUAAACCUCUUUCGGCAGGGACGAAGCCUUUGGGUGACGGUACCUGCAGAAGAAGCGCCGACCAACUACGUGCCAGCAGCCGCGGUAAGACGUAGGGCGCGAGCGUUGCCCGGAUUUAUUGGGCGUAAAGAGCUCGUAGGCGGCUUGUUGCGUCGUCCGUGAAAACUUGGGGCUUAACCUCAAGCUUGCGGUCGAUACGGGCAGGCUGGAGUUCGGUAGGGGAGACUGGAAUUCCUGGUGUAGCGGUGAAAUGCGCAGAUAUCAGGAGGAACACCGGUGGCGAAGGCGGGUCUCUGGGCCGAUACUGACGCUGAGGAGCGAAAGCGUGGGGAGCGAA
Molecule: ribosomal RNA, 407 nt
Filed under: uncultured bacterium
Lineage: Bacteria
Description: bacterial SSU rRNA
Rfam family: Bacterial small subunit ribosomal RNA
Source: RNAcentral